Molecule: long non-coding RNA, 1044 nt
Organism: Phyllopteryx taeniolatus (common seadragon)
Lineage: Eukaryota; Metazoa; Chordata; Actinopteri; Syngnathiformes; Syngnathidae
Exons: 3
Source: RefSeq, a predicted model, not a curated record
UAGUAGGGUUUUGACAUUAUUGUGAUGUAUCGUUAUCAUUUACAGUAUAAUAUCAUUAAUAUGAUGUGCAUAUGUGAUGUGUCCAGCUCACCUAGUGACCCUAGUGAGGAUGUAUAAUGGAUGGAUGGAUUGAUUGUUAUUGAUUAUUGCAAAAUGUCUGCAUCAGAAUCAUUUCCACUGUUGUCAAAAUAUCAUAAAAUGAUCAUAUCUUGAGUUAAUAUGCAAUUCCCACCCAUACUGACCCAACUUUUGAGGACAAUAUCAAACACACAAACAAACACAAGAGAUGUUGGCAUUAGUUUGCGACAGUGUCGAUGACGCCAAAAUCCAAUUGGAUUGAGUCCAACUUCAAAGGCCCCCACAUACCUGAGAUUAUACAACAGCGUGGCCGCCAGACAGGUCAGCCUCCAGGUAUGGAAGGCAAGGGGAUGCUGACAGAUGGUGCUUCACCUCGUGCCUAUCAGGGCGAUUAAGGGAUGGCAGACUAAAGUCUAACAGUGUUUGUGUAGAAUGGAUGCCUGAGACACACAAGCCAUCAAGAACACUGAGUUUGCUGAAAACCACACAUUCAAUCUCAUUAAGCUCAUCAAGUACUGAGUGGGAACCAAAGAAGGAAGCGGGAUGCACGUUCCCCAAACCGCUCUCCAUCUCACUUUUCUUUUUUCUCACCCCCCUGCAGUACUCUGUAAUUUGUCUAAAAAUACCCCGCAAAGAAGAGAAGGAGGAGGAGGAGCGAAAACAAACCUUUGGAGGAGAUAAUGUGGCAAAGGAGGGCAGCCGGAAAAGCAAGGGAUUGCACGCGCCGAGCAAAGGCGGAAUGUGAGCCACCUGGACGCGGAUGCCUUUUUCCCAGAAGAGAAGCAGGUGACCCAGCUGCGCGACGUUCCCGAUGCAAUCUACAGCAUGAAGCAGGAGAGCCACUGCCUCUGCGGAUGAAAGCUGCACUUGCUGUGCUCACAUUGAGCAGGCGCAGGAUAGCUCCCCUCCCCCUCCCCAACACCCCUUCCCAUUCUGUCUCUGUCCGUCCACUUCCCUAGAUGGCUC